UACGUAGGGUGCAAGCGUUAUCCGGAAUUAUUGGGCGUAAAGAGCUCGUAGGCGGUUUGUCGCGUCUGCCGUGAAAACUGGAGGCUCAACCUCCAGCCUGCGGUGGGUACGGGCAAACUAGAGUGCGGUAGGGGAGAUUGGAAUUCCUGGUGUAGCGGUGGAAUGCUCAGAUAUCAGGAGGAACACCGAUGGCGAAGGCAGAUCUCUGGGCCGUAACUGACGCUGAGGAGCGAAAGCAUGGGGAGCGAACAGG
This 253-nucleotide ribosomal RNA is filed under the name uncultured bacterium. RNAcentral describes it as "partial 16S ribosomal RNA". It matches the Rfam family "Bacterial small subunit ribosomal RNA", at positions 524 to 776 of the family's 1533-position model. The record is from RNAcentral.